Molecule: long non-coding RNA, 705 nt
Organism: Callorhinchus milii (elephant shark)
Lineage: Eukaryota; Metazoa; Chordata; Chondrichthyes; Chimaeriformes; Callorhinchidae
Exons: 4
Source: RefSeq, a predicted model, not a curated record
ACUGAGGUGACCGUAGGCCCCGCGGGGGGGCGGGAGCUGCAGUCGCUGCCGACACGAGCGAUGGACUCAUUCAUGUGAACAGUCGUGCAGGGCACGAUCCUCCAGUAGAUCAAAUAAGGGACUAUUUUUCACGUGAAUCUGGAAUCAGGGCUGACAAAACUUACACUCACACCCCUCUGGGAGAAAAAAGAUCCAGCUUGACGCUUUUUAAUCUUAACUGCAUGUCCCCUAGUUUGAGCAGGUGUUUUCCUAACAGCAAAAACAGGAGGUGUGGAAAAUCAGCUUAUCAGCCACGAGCCGCUCCAUUGGAUACACAGUCUUAUUGCAGGAGGCACACGACUCUUUCAUCUGCGGUGGGAGAAACGACUGGUUGAAAGGAGAGAAACCAAAGUUAGUUAAUCUACUUGAUGAAAAAUAAAUUUAUCCCUGAGUAAGUGGUGGAUGGAGGGUAAAAGCAGCAGGGCUGAGCAAAAAAGAUGUGAGAAGCAUUAAGGAGGAGAACGCAUAAGGAACUGGACAGAAGGCUCUAAUGAAACAGGCUGAGAAAUCUCAGAUGAUUGUGAAAUUUUUAAGAGGCAAAUCCCAGAAUAUAGGACGUCCAGGCUUACAAAAAUGGCUAGAGAAGAGCCAUCAAACUACAAUUAAGCCUCAUGUUGAUUAUAGUAAAAUUAAAAUACUUAAUAAUCUUUGCAUUUGGUACAGUGC